CAACAGGGAUUGCCCUAGUAACGGCGAGUGAAGCGGCAACAGCUCAAAUUUGAAAUCUGGCUCUUUUAGAGUCCGAGUUGUAAUUUGCAGAGGGCGCUUUGGCUUUGGCAGCGGUCCAAGUUCCUUGGAACAGGACGUCACAGAGGGUGAGAAUCCCGUACGUGGUCGCUAGCUAUUGCCGUGUAAAGCCCCUUCGACGAGUCGAGUUGUUUGGGAAUGCAGCUCUAAAUGGGAGGUAAAUUUCUUCUAAAGCUAAAUAUUGGCCAGAGACCGAUAGCGCACAAGUAGAGUGAUCGAAAGAUGAAAAGCACUUUGGAAAGAGAGUCAAACAGCACGUGAAAUUGUUGAAAGGGAAGCGCUUGCAGCCAGACUUGCUUGCAGUUGCUCAUCCGGGCUUUUGCCCGGUGCACUCUUCUGCAGGCAGGCCAGCAUCAGUUUGGGCGGUGGGAUAAAGGUCUCUGUCACGUUCCUUCCUUCGGGUUGGCCAUAUAGGGGAGAUGUCAUACCACCAGCCUGGACUGAGGUCCGCGCAUCUGCUAGGAUGCUGGCGUAAUGGCUGUAAGCGGCCCGUCUUGAAACACGGACCAAGGAGUCUAACAUCUAUGCGAGUGUUUGGGUGUCAAGCCCGAGCGCGUAAUGAAAGUGAACGGAGGUGGGAACCCGCAAGGGUGCACCAUCGACCGAUCCUGAAGUUUACGGAAGGAUUUGAGUAAGAGCAUGGCUGUUGGGACCCGAAAGAUGGUGAACUAUGCUUGAAUAGGGUGAAGCCAGAGGAAACUCUGGUGGAGGCUCGCAGCGGUUCUGACGUGCAAAUCGAUCGUCAAAUUUGGGCAUAGGGGCGAAAGACUAAUCGA
Molecule: ribosomal RNA, 854 nt
Filed under: Curvularia borreriae
Lineage: Eukaryota; Fungi; Ascomycota; Dothideomycetes; Pleosporales; Pleosporaceae
Description: eukaryotic LSU rRNA
Rfam family: Eukaryotic large subunit ribosomal RNA
Source: RNAcentral